RNAcentral lists this ribosomal RNA (397 nucleotides) under uncultured bacterium. Its description in RNAcentral is "bacterial SSU rRNA". It matches the Rfam family "Bacterial small subunit ribosomal RNA", at positions 28 to 428 of the family's 1533-position model. The record is from RNAcentral.
GACGAACGCUGGCGGCGUGCUUAACACAUGCAAGUCGAGCGGUAAGGCCCUUUCGGGGGUACGACGAGCGGCGAGCGGGUGAGUAACACGUGGGUGACCUGCCCUCAGCUCUGGGAUAAGCCCGGGAAACUGGGUCUAAUACUGGAUAUGACUCCACGGUGCAUGCCGUGGGGUGGAAAGCCUUGUGCGGCUGAGGAUGGGCCCGCGGCCUAUCAGCUUGUUGGUGGGGUGAUGGCCUACCAAGGCGACGACGGGUAGCCGGCCUGAGAGGGCGACCGGCCACACUGGGACUGAGACACGGCCCAGACUCCUACGGGAGGCAGCAGUGGGGAAUCUUGCGCAAUGGGCGAAAGCCUGACGCAGCGACGCCGCGUGAGGGAUGACGGCCUCGGUGUAA